CCUACGGGAGGCAGCAGUAAGGAAUCUUCCACAAUGGGCGAAAGCCUGAUGGAGCAACGCCGCGUGCAGGAUGAAGGCCCUCGGGUGCUAAACUGCUUUUAUGAGUGAAGAAUAUGACGGUAACUCAUGAAUAAGCACCGGCUAACUACGUGCCAGCAGCCGCG
This 164-nucleotide ribosomal RNA is filed under the name uncultured bacterium. RNAcentral's name for it is "partial 16S ribosomal RNA". It matches the Rfam family "Bacterial small subunit ribosomal RNA", at positions 338 to 519 of the family's 1533-position model. The record is from RNAcentral.